This 55-nucleotide microRNA precursor is filed under the name Heligmosomoides polygyrus. Its description in RNAcentral is "microRNA hpo-mir-10048 precursor". Lineage: Eukaryota; Metazoa; Nematoda; Chromadorea; Rhabditida; Heligmosomidae. The record is from miRBase by way of RNAcentral.
ACAGGAUGUCUCGUGACAGGACUUUUCUAAGAUUCCUGUCCGUGCCACCUUGCGC